RNAcentral lists this transfer RNA (66 nucleotides) under Geinula sp. BMNH 846542. RNAcentral's name for it is "tRNA-Ala". Lineage: Eukaryota; Metazoa; Arthropoda; Insecta; Coleoptera; Chrysomelidae. The record is from RNAcentral.
AGGAUAAUAGUUAACGUUAACAUUUAACUUGCAUUUAAAAAAUAUUGAAAUUUUCAAUUUAUCUUA